RNAcentral lists this ribosomal RNA (253 nucleotides) under uncultured bacterium. RNAcentral describes it as "partial 16S ribosomal RNA". It matches the Rfam family "Bacterial small subunit ribosomal RNA", at positions 524 to 776 of the family's 1533-position model. The record is from RNAcentral.
CACGUAGGGGACGAGCGUUGUCCGGAUUCAUUGGGCGUAAAGCGCGCGUAGGCGGCUCGGAAAGUCGGUCGUGAAAUGCCGGGGCUCAACCCCGGGACUGCGUCCGAUACUCCCGAGCUGGAGGCAGGUAGGGGAGAUCGGAAUUCCUGGUGUAGCGGUGAAAUGCGCAGAUAUCAGGAGGAACACCGGUGGCGAAGGCGGAUCUCUGGGCCUUGCCUGACACUGAGGCGCGAAAGCUAGGGGAGCGAACAGG